CCUACGGGAGGCAGCAGUGGGGAAUAUUGCGCAAUGGGCGAAAGCCUGACGCAGCGACGCCGCGUGAGGGACGACGGCCUUCGGGUUGUAAACCUCUUUCAGCAGGGACGAAGCGAAAGUGACGGUACCUGCAGAAGAAGCACCGGCCAACUACGUGCCAGCAGCCGCGGUAAUACGUAGGGUGCAAGCGUUGUCCGGAAUUAUUGGGCGUAAAGAGCUCGUAGGCGGUUUGUCACGUCGGAUGUGAAAACUCGGGGCUCAACUCCGAGCCUGCAUACGAUACGGGCAGACUUGAGUUCGGCAGGGGAGACUGGAAUUCCUGGUGUAGCGGUGAAAUGCGCAGAUAUCAGGAGGAACACCGGUGGCGAAGGCGGGUCUCUGGGCCGAUACUGACGCUGAGGAGCGAAAGCGUGGGGAGCAAACAGGAUUAGAUACCCUGGUAGUCCACGCCGUAAACGGUGGGUGCUAGGUGUGGGGAACAUUCCACGUUCUCCGUGCCGCAGCUAACGCAUUAAGCACCCCGCCUGGGGAGUACGGCCGCAAGGCUAAAACUCAAAUGAAUUGACGG
This 568-nucleotide ribosomal RNA is filed under the name uncultured bacterium. RNAcentral describes it as "bacterial SSU rRNA". It matches the Rfam family "Bacterial small subunit ribosomal RNA", at positions 338 to 916 of the family's 1533-position model. The record is from RNAcentral.